UACACUCCUACGGGAGGCAGCAGUGGGGAAUUUUGGACAAUGGGCGAAAGCCUGAUCCAGCCAUGCCGCGUGCAGGAUGAAGGCCUUCGGGUUGUAAACUGCUUUUGUACGGAACGAAACGGCCUUUUCUAAUAAAGAGGGCUAAUGACGGUACCGUAAGAAUAAGCACCGGCUAACUACGUGCCAGCAGCCGCGGUAAUACGUAGGGUGCAAGCGUUAAUCGGAAUUACUGGGCGUAAAGCGUGCGCAGGCGGUUAUGUAAGACAGUUGUGAAAUCCCCGGGCUCAACCUGGGAACUGCAUCUGUGACUGCAUAGCUAGAGUACGGUAGAGGGGGAUGGAAUUCCGCGUGUAGCAGUGAAAUGCGUAGAUAUGCGGAGGAACACCGAUGGCGAAGGCAAUCCCCUGGACCUGUACUGACGCUCAUGCACGAAAGCGUGGGGAGCAAACAGGAUUAGAAACCCGGGUAGUCCCAUG
RNAcentral lists this ribosomal RNA (476 nucleotides) under uncultured organism. RNAcentral describes it as "partial 16S ribosomal RNA". It matches the Rfam family "Bacterial small subunit ribosomal RNA", at positions 332 to 799 of the family's 1533-position model. The record is from RNAcentral.